Molecule: RNA transcript, 3376 nt
Organism: Juglans regia (Persian walnut)
Lineage: Eukaryota; Viridiplantae; Streptophyta; Magnoliopsida; Fagales; Juglandaceae
Gene name: transcription factor bHLH155-like
Exons: 10
Source: RefSeq, a predicted model, not a curated record
GGUUUUAUCCGGACGAAACGCCACUCAAAACUGAAAAGCUCAAGGUCUCUCUCUCUCUCUGCUGGUUUUCUUUUGCUCCGAUCAUAUCCGUUUUCUACGGACACAAGAAAAAGACAUGGAGUCCAACGAAUUUGAACAUCGUCUGAUAUCUCUGAUUUGACGUUCUGACUCAGUACUACUUUCUACUAGGUAAGUAAGAGCCAUCAAGUUGUCUGACCUUUUGAACCCUUUUUCUGUCUGUUUGGUUCGUUGCCAGAAUUCGAGUGGAAAAGUCUAGUGUUACCAAGCCCCACGGUUGUGUUAAUUUUUUUGCUUUAGUUUCUCAGCAUCCAAACGGAGAUUCCUCUUUUGUUUACUUGUGUGUUUUGUGACGGGAGCUGGUUUAAUUUGGCUCUUCUCGCUUCGUGAGCAGCCGAGUGAAUUGCAAAACAUGCUCCACUCUGCUUGUACCAGUGACUUCGUGCUUUAGUAGACUCAAAAGUUUAGCUCGUUUAAGGUUCUUAUUUCCGGAUAAUCAGGCUCUGUUGAAGCUCUUCCUGUCCUCCUAAAAUACCACCACAUCGUGAACCUUCCGCGUUCUUUGUAAAAAAGUCUGACAAAAUUUCAUGGCAUACUCAGUCCAAAAAGUCCAUAAAUUUGUUCUUAGCGUUUUCCAACCGUUGUAAAAUACCAAUCACAUAAAGUCUGCAACUUGAUCUCUGAGAGUGAGAGGGGAGUUUUCGCGAUGGGCCUUUUGCUUAUUGGGUCAACGGGGCCUCCAAUAAAACGACGGGCAGGUUUGAGGAUAAAACAGGCGGGGCGAGGUUCAUACAGUGGCAGCUAGGGGGAAGCUUUUCCCCAUGUGAUAAUCUGUCUGAGUUUUCUGUUGGUAUUAAUUGACCUUUGUAAAUUCCUUGAGAGCCAGCCAAAGUAAUGGGGACUACUGCUUUGAGACAGUUGUUGAAGAGUCUCUGCAGCAACUCAUAUUGGAAAUAUGCGGUAUUUUGGAAGCUUGAGCACCACGGCCAAAUGAUUUUGAGCUGGGAAGAUGGGUACUGUGGUUCUAAAAAAACAAGAGAACCUCUGCAGAAUAUCUCAGAUGGCAUUGACUAUGAAAAUGUGAAUGAGAUAUUUUCAACAUGUGAAAUGAUCAUAGGUGAUGAUGAUGGAAUCACUGCAAUGGGAUAUCCAUUUGGACUAGCUGUAGCUAGUAUGCCAUCUCGUCAGUAUGCCAUGGGAGAAGGGAUUGUUGGUGAAGUUGCAUAUACAAGGAGCCAUAGCUGGGUUGUCUCUGAAAAUACUUAUACAAGCGAAUUCAACUCUAAGUUAGUUGCUGAGUAUCCAGAUGAAUGGCUACUUCAAUUUGCAGCAGGUAUCAAGACUAUUCUGUUGGUUCCUGUACUUCCACAUGGAGUUCUACAGCUCGGCUCAUUGGACUGGGUUCCUGAAGACCUGGCUAUGGUCGCUUAUGUCAAAGAUAGAUUCAACACCCUUCACAAUGUUGCAGGGAUUAAUGUACCACUCACUUCAAAUGGAGACAUGCAACCUCAAACUUCAUCACCACUAAUGUCUGGUGUCCUGGAGAACUUAGGGGAGGCCUCAGACUUAACCGUUAACCCUCUGAAGGCUGAAGAUUUUAAAGCUUUUGACCACGUUAGACUCAAUAAAAACAAGUUGUCAACUUUAAAUGUAGUGCCAGUGUUGAUGGUUCAAGAUGCUGUUCAAGUAUCUGAAACAAAUAUUCCAAGAAUGGUCAGUGCUGCAAGCCAAAAUGUGAGUGGUCUUCCACCAAAUAGCAUCCUUGGUAUAUCAACCCCUCCAUGCCAAUCUAUAAAUGCUAGCCAGUUAGCAAUGUCAGAGGCUAAGCUGUUUGGAUUCUCUUGUCUGGAAGAAUCAGAGGCUUAUCCUCAAUUUAACAGCUCCAAGUUGGGAGGUUUUGAAGAACCCUCCCACGGAAUCAAUCCUUUGUGCAACGGAUUAAUGACAUUUGGAGACACAAGGGCUAACGAUGCAGAUCAUAAAAGUGCUAGCAGUUUCACUAGCCACCCCGUAGAUUCUGAGCUACACAAAGCACUUCUACCAGCUUUCCAGAAUCAUGCCAUUGAACAUAUGCUGGACACAUCUUUCUCAAUCAGGGAUCCAUGUAGAAGCACAAGUUUAACUCGCAAAAUAGAUCUCUUUGAUGUUAGCAAUCCAUCAUGGUUUUCUGAAGGUGAUGAUGCAGAUUAUCUCUUGGAAGCUAUAGUUGCUAGUGUGUCUAGCUGUUUAGAUGAUACUUCAACUAAUAGAUUCAAAAGUGCUAGCUCAUCUACAACGUUGUUGGGACAAGGUGCCAAUUCCUUCCAGUCACAGAAUCAAUCUGAUCCAAGAGUCUUAAUGAAUGAUGAUUCAACUCCAUGGAGCCAUUUUAGAUCUUCGUUUGUUUCCAGGGACAGAAGUGGCAUUUCUGGUUCAGUUUCUUCCAAUAAUACGAGGAACAAAUUGAUUAAUAAAGAGCAGCAAGAAAAAUGCAAGGGCUCCACACAGCCUAUGAGGCGAACCAAGCUGUCCAAUGCCAUCAAAAGACGAGCUAAAAUUGGUGAAAUCCAAAGGACAAGACCAAGGGACAGGCAGAUGAUCCAGGAUCGGCUGAAGGAGCUCCGACAACUUGUCCCAAAUGGCGCAAAGUGUAGCAUUGACAGUCUCUUAGACCGAGCAGUGAAGCAUAUGCUGCAUUUAAGAAGUGUAAACAACCAGUCUGAAAAAUUGAGGCAAUUGGCACAUCGAAAGUUAUGUAACCAGCCUACUAAGGUCAUGUAUAAGCUGGAAGUAAGAAGCAGAAUUGAAGCGCUAUGCAGGUGGCUGACCAAGAGAACAGGGGAUCAUCUGAAACGAAAAAUGGGUGUCAAAAUGGGACCAGCUGGGCUUUUGAAUUUGGAGAUGGACUUCAAUCAUGUCCCAUAGUUGUGGAAGACCUUGAAUAUCCAGGACACAUGCUGAUAGAGAUGCUAUGCAAUGAACGUGGGCUCUUCCUGGAGAUUGCCCAGGUGAUUCGAAGUUUGGAGUUCACUAUCUUGAAGGGUGCAGUCGACUACCGUUCGAACAAUGCCUGGGCACGUUUCAUCGUCGAGGGCCCGAAAGGCUUUCAUAGGAUGGAUAUGUUCUGGCCUCUCAUGCAUCUUUGGCAGCGCAAAAGGAACCCCAUCUCGAGCAAGAUUUGAUACAAUAUUUCUUUGAUGUAAAUCGUGUGUAAUGGUUUUAUCUUCUAAAGGCCAAACAGUUGCAUUGACGCUAGAAAUGCUUCAUCUUCCAGAGUCUUUGCAUUACAUGGCAAAUUAGCAGUCACAGGUCUAACCCACUCUGUGAAGUAUCAAGUGUAGGGAUUAUUGUACGUUUAUGCAAACAAGACUUUUAUUAA